AGCAAUAUGAAGGUCAGGCUGAAGACCUUACCCGAUUAGCUGAGAGGUGGUGCAUGGCCGUCGUCAGUCGUACUGUGAAGCAUCCUGUUAAGUCAGGCAACGAGCGAGACCCACGUCCACAGUUGCCAGCAUACCCUCCGGGGUGAUGGGUACACUGUGGAGACCGCCGCUGCUAAAGCGGAGGAAGGAGUGGGCGACGGUAGGUCAGUAUGCCCCGAAUCUCCCGGGCUACACGCGGGCUACAAUGGUUGGUACAAUGGGCAUCUACCCCGAAAGGGGAAGGAAAUCUCUUAAAGCCAAUCGUAGUUCGGAUUGAGGGCUGCAACUCGCCCUCAUGAAGCUGGAAUCCGUAGUAAUCGCGUUUCAACAGAACGCGGUGAAUACGUCCCUGCUCCUU
This 397-nucleotide ribosomal RNA is filed under the name uncultured Methanosaeta sp. RNAcentral's name for it is "bacterial SSU rRNA". It matches the Rfam family "Archaeal small subunit ribosomal RNA", at positions 941 to 1338 of the family's 1478-position model. The record is from RNAcentral. Lineage: Archaea; Methanobacteriati; Methanobacteriota; Methanomicrobia; Methanotrichales; Methanotrichaceae.